AUUGAACGCUGGCGGCAGGCCUAACACAUGCAAGUCGAACGAGUGGCGGACGGGUGAGUCAUGUCUGGGAAACUGCCUGAUGGAGGGGGAUAACUACUGGAAACGGUAGCUCAUACCGCAUACCAUCGGAUGUGCCCAGAUGGGAUUAGCUUGUUGGUGGGGUAACGUCUAAGCAAGGCGACGAUCCCUAGCUGGUCUGAGAGGAUGACCAGCCACACUGGAACUGAGACCCGGUCCAGACUCCUACGUGAGGCAGCAGUGGGGAAUAUUUCACAAUGGGCGCAAGCCUGAUGCAGCCAGGCCGCGUGUAUGAAGAAGGCCUUCGGGUUGUAAAGUACUUUCAGCGGGGAGGCGUUACCCGCAGAAGAAGCACCGGCUAACUCCGUGCCAGCAGCCGCGGUAAUAC
This 406-nucleotide ribosomal RNA is filed under the name uncultured bacterium. Its description in RNAcentral is "partial 16S ribosomal RNA". It matches the Rfam family "Bacterial small subunit ribosomal RNA", at positions 30 to 526 of the family's 1533-position model. The record is from RNAcentral.